RNAcentral lists this ribosomal RNA (445 nucleotides) under uncultured bacterium. RNAcentral describes it as "bacterial SSU rRNA". It matches the Rfam family "Bacterial small subunit ribosomal RNA", at positions 30 to 507 of the family's 1533-position model. The record is from RNAcentral.
AUUGAACGCUGGCGGCAGGCCUAACACAUGCAAGUCGAACGAGAAACUAGAGCUUGCUCUGGCGGAAAGUGGCAGACGGGUGAGUAACGCGUGGGAAUUUACCCAGUGGUACGGAAUAACUCAGGGAAACUUGUGCUAAUACCGUAUACGCCCUUCGGGGGAAAGAUUUAUCGCCAUUGGAUGAGCCCGCGUUAGAUUAGUUUGUUGGUGGGGUAAUGGCCUACCAAGACUACGAUCUAUAGCUGGUCUGAGAGGAUGAUCAGCCACACUGGGACUGAGACACGGCCCAGACUCCUACGGGAGGCAGCAGUGGGGAAUAUUGCACAAUGGGCGCAAGCCUGAUGCAGCCAUGCCGCGUGAGUGAAGAAGGCCUUAGGGUUGUAAAACUCUUUCACCGGUGAAGAUAAUGACGGUAGCCGGAGAAGAAGCCCCGGCUAACUCCGUG